AUCCAGAUGACCAGUUCCAAAUAGGACGAAAUGCUUAUCCUAGAU
Molecule: non-coding RNA, 45 nt
Organism: Schistosoma haematobium
Lineage: Eukaryota; Metazoa; Platyhelminthes; Trematoda; Strigeidida; Schistosomatidae
Source: Rfam